CUAAUGUACCCUCGAGUCCCUAAUUAGUGCUUGAGCCACUUGAAGGUAUUAUUUAAUUUUUAAAUAAUUUCUGCAGCAAAAUGAGGAGAUCCCACAUUGGCUGCACACGCAUUCUUGCCAUUGCCCAUGGCUGGAGUUGCCUGGUGCCGUGAGUUUUCCAUUUCAUGGGAAACUCAUGUGCUGAGGGAGUAACCCAGCAAGGAAUGAGUAAAUAGCUGCUGCUCUAAAGACCAGCUCAUUAAGAGGCAGACAUCUGAAUGAAUUUUUGUAAUUGUUAACUUACAAGUUGGGAAUUUGUGAAAUGUGACAAAUAAGAAGUAAUUGAGAAUGCCUGCUGCACUGGGAUCUGUCUCUGCCGACAUAUGCGUUCUCCGCCGUGGUGCUGUUGUUUGUGGCAAUCCCGGUGUGGCACAGGCAGGAUGAAGGAGGUGUGCAGGGGAAUAUCCACUGGAGCCGCAAUGGCAGGGCCUCGAAAAUUCCAUGUGAGGAUCCCAGAGUAGAGUAAGAAAAACACCAUCAGGAGAUUGGAACCU
Molecule: long non-coding RNA, 533 nt
Organism: Empidonax traillii (willow flycatcher)
Lineage: Eukaryota; Metazoa; Chordata; Aves; Passeriformes; Tyrannidae
Exons: 4
Source: RefSeq, a predicted model, not a curated record